CUUAGAGUUUGAUCCUGGCUCAGGAUGAACGCUGGCGGUAUGCUUAACACAUGCAAGUCGAACGGUGUCUUCGGACAUAGUGGCGGACGGGUGAGUAACGCGUGAGAAUCUAGCUUCAGGUCUGGGACAACCACUGGAAACGGUGGCUAAUACCGGAUGUGCCGGAAGGUGAAAGGCUUGCUGCCUGAAGAUGAGCUCGCGUCCGAUUAGCUAGUAGGUGGGGUAAGAGCCUACCUAGGCGACGAUCGGUAGCUGGUCUGAGAGGAUGACCAGCCACACUGGGACUGAGACACGGCCCAGACUCCUACGGGAGGCAGCAGUGGGGAAUUUUCCGCAAUGGGCGAAAGCCUGACGGAGCAAUACCGCGUGAGGGAGGAAGGCUCUUGGGUUGUAAACCUCUUUUCUCAGGGAAGAACACAAUGACGGUACCUGAGGAAUCAGCAUCGGCUAACUCCGUGCCAGCAGCCGCGGUAAUACGGAGGAUGCAAGCGUUAUCCGGAAUGAUUGGGCGUAAAGCGUCCGCAGGUGGCUGUGUAAGUCUGCUGUCAAAGAGCAAAGCUCAACUUUGUAAAGGCAGUGGAAACUACACGGCUAGAGUGCGUUCGGGGCAGAGGGAAUUCCUGGUGUAGCGGUGAAAUGCGUAGAGAUCAGGAAGAACACCGGUGGCGAAGGCGCUCUGCUAGGCCGCAACUGACACUGAGGGACGAAAGCUAGGGGAGCGAAUGGGAUUAGAUACCCCAGUAGUCCUAGCUGUAAA
This 757-nucleotide ribosomal RNA is filed under the name uncultured bacterium. Its description in RNAcentral is "bacterial SSU rRNA". It matches the Rfam family "Bacterial small subunit ribosomal RNA", at positions 1 to 806 of the family's 1533-position model. The record is from RNAcentral.